AACGCACAUUGCGCCCUUUGGUAUUCCGAAGGGCAUGCCUGUUCGAGCGUCAUUAUCACCCCUCAAGCCCCCGGCUUGGUGUUGGACGGUUUGGUGGAGGCCCCCUCGUCGGGGUCGCUGCCCCUCCCAAAGACAAUGACGGCGGCCUCGUUGGACCCCCGGUACACUGAGUUCUUCACGGGACACGUACUGGACACAAGGGUGCGCGGGGCACGGUCUGCCUCCCCUCUAGGGAGAAUCAUCUCAAGGUUGACCUCGGAUCAGGUAGGGAUACCCGCUGAACUUAA
Molecule: unclassified non-coding RNA, 287 nt
Filed under: uncultured fungus
Lineage: Eukaryota; Fungi
Description: partial contains 5.8S ribosomal RNA, internal transcribed spacer 2, and large subunit ribosomal RNA
Rfam family: 5.8S ribosomal RNA (bases 1-52)
Source: RNAcentral